Molecule: ribosomal RNA, 408 nt
Filed under: uncultured Enterobacter sp.
Lineage: Bacteria; Pseudomonadati; Pseudomonadota; Gammaproteobacteria; Enterobacterales; Enterobacteriaceae
Description: bacterial SSU rRNA
Rfam family: Bacterial small subunit ribosomal RNA
Source: RNAcentral
AACGCGAAGAACCUUACCUGGUCUUGACAUAGUAAGAACUUUCCAGAGAUGGAUUGGUGCCUUCGGGAACUUACAUACAGGUGCUGCAUGGCUGUCGUCAGCUCGUGUUGUGAAAUGUUGGGUUAAGUCCCGCAACGAGCGCAACCCUUAUCCUUUGUUGCCAGCGGUCCGGCCGGGAACUCAAAGGAGACUGCCAGUGAUAAACUGGAGGAAGGUGGGGAUGACGUCAAGUCAUCAUGGCCCUUACGACCAGGGCUACACACGUGCUACAAUGGCGCAUACAAAGAGAAGCGACCUCGCGAGAGCAAGCGGACCUCAUAAAGUGCGUCGUAGUCCGGAUUGGAGUCUGCAACUCGACUCCAUGAAGUCGGAAUCGCUAGUAAUCGUGGAUCAGAAUGCCACGGUGAA